Molecule: non-coding RNA, 29 nt
Filed under: Homo sapiens (human)
Lineage: Eukaryota; Metazoa; Chordata; Mammalia; Primates; Hominidae
Source: RNAcentral
AGGAACGUAACCUUCAUGUCUGUGGUCCC